This 497-nucleotide ribosomal RNA is filed under the name uncultured bacterium. Its description in RNAcentral is "partial 16S ribosomal RNA". It matches the Rfam family "Bacterial small subunit ribosomal RNA", at positions 28 to 507 of the family's 1533-position model. The record is from RNAcentral.
GAUGAACGCUGGCGGCGUGCCUAAUACAUGCAAGUCGAGCGAACGGACGAGAAGCUUGCUUCUCUGAUGUUAGCGGCGGACGGGUGAGUAACACGUGGAUAACCUACCUAUAAGACUGGGAUAACUUCGGGAAACCGGAUCUAAUACCGGAUGAUAUUUUGAACCGCAUGGUUCAAAAGUGAAAGACGGUCUUGCUGUCACUUAUAGAUGGAUCCGCGCUGCAUUAGCUAGUUGGUAAGGUAACGGCUUGCCAAGGCAACGAUGCAUAGCCGACCUGAGAGGGUGAUCGGCCACACUGGAACUGAGACACGGUCCAGACUCCUACGGGAGGCAGCAGUAGGGAAUCUUCCGCAAUGGGCGAAAGCCUGACGGAGCAACGCCGCGUGAGUGAUGAAGGUCUUCGGAUCGUAAAACUCUGUUAUUAGGGAAGAACAUAUGUGUAAGUAACUGUGCACAUCUUGACGGUACCUAAUCAGAAAGCCACGGCUAACUACGUG